GAUGAAGAAACGUAGCGAAAUGCGAUAAGUAAUGUGAAUUGCAGAAUUCAGUGAAUCAUCGAAUCUUUGAACGCACAUUGCGCCCCUUGGUAUUCCGAGGGGCAUGCCUGUUCGAGCGUCAUUAUCACCCUUCAAGCUCUGCUUGGUGUUGGGGCCUGCUGUUACAGGCAGCCCUUAAAAUCAGUGGCAGUGGUCAUUAGGCUCUAAGCGUAGUAAUUCUUCUCGCUAUAGCGUCUAGUGGUUGCGCGCCAAAACCCCCAACUUUUUAUGAUUGACCUCGGAUCAGGUAGGGAUACCCGCUGAACUUAAGCAUAUCAAUAAGCGGAGGA
This 329-nucleotide unclassified non-coding RNA is filed under the name soil metagenome. RNAcentral's name for it is "partial contains 5.8S ribosomal RNA, internal transcribed spacer 2, and large subunit ribosomal RNA". The stretch from base 1 to 121 matches the Rfam family "5.8S ribosomal RNA", at positions 35 to 154 of the family's 154-position model. The record is from RNAcentral.